RNAcentral lists this transfer RNA (75 nucleotides) under Gammaproteobacteria bacterium GWE2_37_16. RNAcentral describes it as "tRNA-Val". It matches the Rfam family "tRNA". From Rfam's summary of the family: Transfer RNA (tRNA) molecules are approximately 80 nucleotides in length. The record is from RNAcentral. Lineage: Bacteria; Pseudomonadati; Pseudomonadota; Gammaproteobacteria.
GGGCGAUUGGCACAGCGGUAGCGCACUGCCUUCACACGGCAGGGGUCACUGGUUCGAUCCCAGUAUCGCCCACCA